Molecule: ribosomal RNA, 497 nt
Filed under: uncultured bacterium
Lineage: Bacteria
Description: partial 16S ribosomal RNA
Rfam family: Bacterial small subunit ribosomal RNA
Source: RNAcentral
GAUGAACGCUGGCGGCGUGCCUAAUACAUGCAAGUCGAGCGAACAGACGAGGAGCUUGCUCCUCUGACGUUAGCGGCGGACGGGUGAGUAACACGUGGAUAACCUACCUAUAAGACUGGGAUAACUUCGGGAAACCGGAGCUAAUACCGGAUAAUAUAUUGAACCGCAUGGUUCAAUAGUGAAAGACGGUUUUGCUGUCACUUAUAGAUGGAUCCGCGCCGCAUUAGCUAGUUGGUAAGGUAACGGCUUACCAAGGCAACGAUGCGUAGCCGACCUGAGAGGGUGAUCGGCCACACUGGAACUGAGACACGGUCCAGACUCCUACGGGAGGCAGCAGUAGGGAAUCUGCCGCAAUGGGCGAAAGCCUGACGGAGCAACGCCGCGUGAGUGAUGAAGGUCUUCGGAUCGUAAAACUCUGUUAUUAGGGAAGAACAAAUGUGGAAGUAACUAUGCACGUCUUGACGGUACCUAAUCAGAAAGCCACGGCUAACUACGUG